GCAAUGGCGCGUGCUUACAAUGACAGUCGAACGAUGAAGCCCUUCGGGCUGGAUUAGUGGCGAACGGGUGAGUAACACGUGGGCAAUCUGCCCUUCACUCUGGGACAUGCCCUGGAAACGGGGUCUAAUACCGGAUACGACACGAGACGGCAUGGUCUUCGUGUGGAAAGCUCCGGCGGUGAAGGAUGAGCCCGCGGCCUAUCAGCAUGUUGGUGGGGUGAUGGCCUACCAAGGCGACGACGGGUAGCCGGCCUGAGAGGGCGACCGGCCACACUGGGACUGAGUCACGGCCCAGACUCCUACGGGAGGCAGCAGUGCGGAAUAUUGCACAAUGGGCGCAAGCCUGAUGCAGCGACGCCGCGUGAGGGAUGACGGCCUUGGGGUUGUAAACCUCUUUCAGCAGGGAAGAAGCGUGAGUGACGGUACCUGCAGAAGAAGCGCCGGCUAACUACGUGCCUGCAGCCGCGGUAAUACGUAGGGCGCAAGCGUUGUCCGGAAUUAUUGGGCGUAAUGAGCUCGUAGGCGGCUUGUCGCGUCGGUUGUGAAAGCCCCGAGCUUAACUCCGGGUCUGCAGUCGAUACGGGCAGGCUAGAGUUCGGUAGGGCAGAUCGGAAUUCCUGGUGUAGCGGUGAAUUGCGCAGAUAUCAGGAGGAACACCGGUGGCGAAGGCGGAUCUCUGCGCCGAUACUGACGCUGAGGAGCGAAAGCGUGGGGAGCGAACAGGAUUAGAUACCCUGGUAGUCCACGCCGUAAUCGGUGGGCACUAGGUGUGGGCGACAUUCCACGUCGUCCGUGCCGCAGCUAACGCAUUAAGUGCCCCGCCUGGCGAGUACGGCCGCAAGGCUAAAACUCAAAGGAAUUGACGCGGGCCCGCACAAGCGGCGGAGCAUGU
This 892-nucleotide ribosomal RNA is filed under the name Streptomyces sp. GDJ4. RNAcentral's name for it is "bacterial SSU rRNA". It matches the Rfam family "Bacterial small subunit ribosomal RNA", at positions 35 to 942 of the family's 1533-position model. The record is from RNAcentral. Lineage: Bacteria; Bacillati; Actinomycetota; Actinomycetes; Kitasatosporales; Streptomycetaceae.